UCCUACGGGAGGCAGCAGUGGGGAAUAUUGGGCAAUGGGCGCAAGCCUGACCCAGCAACGCCGCGUGAGGGAAGAAGGUCUUCGGAUUGUAAACCUCUGUCCUUGGGGACGAAAAAAAUGACGGUACCCAAGGAGGAAGCUCCGGCUAACUACGUGCCAGCAGCCGCGGUAAUACGUAGGGAGCGAGCGUUGUCCGGAAUUACUGGGCGUAAAGGGUGCGUAGGCGGCAAUGCAAGUCAGAUGUGAAAUCCCCGGGCUCAACUCGGGUUCUGCAUUUGAAACUGCGUUGCUUGAGUGCAGGAGAGGAAAGCGGAAUUCCUAGUGUAGCGGUGAAAUGCGUAGAUAUUAGGAAGAACACCAGUGGCGAAGGCGGCUUUCUGGACUGUAACUGACGCUGAGGCACGAAAGCGUGGGGAGCAAACAGGAUUAGAUACCCUGGUAGA
RNAcentral lists this ribosomal RNA (443 nucleotides) under uncultured bacterium. RNAcentral describes it as "bacterial SSU rRNA". It matches the Rfam family "Bacterial small subunit ribosomal RNA", at positions 337 to 794 of the family's 1533-position model. The record is from RNAcentral.